UACGUAGGGGGCUAGCGUUGUCCGGAAUCAUUGGGCGUAAAGCGCGUGUAGGCGGUUCGGUAAGUCCGCUGUGAAAGUCGGGGGCUCAACCCUCGAAUGCCGGUGGAUACUGUCGAACUAGAGUGCGGAAGAGGCGAGUGGAAUUCCUGGUGUAGCGGUGAAAUGCGCAGAUAUCAGGAGGAACACCAAUUGCGAAGGCAGCUCGCUGGGACGUAACUGACGCUGAGACGCGAAAGCGUGGGGAGCAAACAGG
This 253-nucleotide ribosomal RNA is filed under the name uncultured bacterium. RNAcentral's name for it is "partial 16S ribosomal RNA". It matches the Rfam family "Bacterial small subunit ribosomal RNA", at positions 524 to 776 of the family's 1533-position model. The record is from RNAcentral.